Molecule: ribosomal RNA, 944 nt
Filed under: Streptococcus thermophilus
Lineage: Bacteria; Bacillati; Bacillota; Bacilli; Lactobacillales; Streptococcaceae
Description: bacterial SSU rRNA
Rfam family: Bacterial small subunit ribosomal RNA
Source: RNAcentral
GCGAACGGGUGAGUAACGCGUAGGUAACCUGCCUUGUAGCGGGGGAUAACUAUUGGAAACGAUAGCUAAUACCGCAUAACAAUGGAUGACACAUGUCAUUUAUUUGAAAGGGGCAAUUGCUCCACUACAAGAUGGACCUGCGUUGUAUUAGCUAGUAGGUGAGGUAAUGGCUCACCUAGGCGACGAUACAUAGCCGACCUGAGAGGGUGAUCGGCCACACUGGGACUGAGACACGGCCCAGACUCCUACGGGAGGCAGCAGUAGGGAAUCUUCGGCAAUGGGGGCAACCCUGACCGAGCAACGCCGCGUGAGUGAAGAAGGUUUUCGGAUCGUAAAGCUCUGUUGUAAGUCAAGAACGGGUGUGAGAGUGGAAAGUUCACACUGUGACGGUAGCUUACCAGAAAGGGACGGCUAACUACGUGCCAGCAGCCGCGGUAAUACGUAGGUCCCGAGCGUUGUCCGGAUUUAUUGGGCGUAAAGCGAGCGCAGGCGGUUUGAUAAGUCUGAAGUUAAAGGCUGUGGCUCAACCAUAGUUCGCUUUGGAAACUGUCAAACUUGAGUGCAGAAGGGGAGAGUGGAAUUCCAUGUGUAGCGGUGAAAUGCGUAGAUAUAUGGAGGAACACCGGUGGCGAAAGCGGCUCUCUGGUCUGUAACUGACGCUGAGGCUCGAAAGCGUGGGGAGCGAACAGGAUUAGAUACCCUGGUAGUCCACGCCGUAAACGAUGAGUGCUAGGUGUUGGAUCCUUUCCGGGAUUCAGUGCCGCAGCUAACGCAUUAAGCACUCCGCCUGGGGAGUACGACCGCAAGGUUGAAACUCAAAGGAAUUGACGGGGGCCCGCACAAGCGGUGGAGCAUGUGGUUUAAUUCGAAGCAACGCGAAGAACCUUACCAGGUCUUGACAUCCCGAUGCUAUUUCUAGAGAUAGAAAGUUACUUCGGUACAUC